AUUUUUAAAAAACGUUGAUAACAUUGUGUUAGACAGUCCCUUGAAUGGUCCCUACUUGUCACAAUGGCUGCAUUUGUCUGUUUGAAAGUGUUUACAAUGUCAGCAGAACGAACUGAGAAAUGAGACAAAACCAAACAUGAACCCGAUCUGACAUUCGAAUCAGAAGGGAUCAGUGCGGCAGAUGGAAUGGUUGAAGGCACAUCUCAACACCUCAUUGUUGCGUUGCCCUUUUCCCCUUCACAAAAAAAAAAAAAAAA
Hippocampus comes (tiger tail seahorse) is the source of this 257-nucleotide long non-coding RNA. RefSeq lists it as uncharacterized. The transcript is spliced from 3 exons. NCBI's taxonomy places the organism in Eukaryota, Metazoa, Chordata, Actinopteri, Syngnathiformes, Syngnathidae. The record is from RefSeq and is a predicted model, not a curated record.